GACGAACGCUGGCGGCGUGCUUAACACAUGCAAGUCGAACGGACAGGCCCUGCUUUUGUGGGGUGCUCGAGUGGCGAACGCGUGAGUAACACGUGAGUAACCUGCCCUUGACUUUGGGAUAACUUCAGGAAACUGGGGCUAAUACCGGAUAGGAGCUCCUGCUGCAUGGUGGGGGUUGGAAAGUUUCGGCGGUUGGGGAUGUACUCGCGGCUUAUCAGCUUGUUGGGGGGGUAGUGGCUUACCAAGGCUUUGACGGGUAGCCGGCCUGAGAGGGUGACCGGCCACAUUGGGACUGAGAUACGGCCCAGACUCCUACGGGACGCAGCAGUGGGGAAUAUUGCACAAUGGGCGGAAGCCUGAUGCAGCAACGCCGCGUGCGGGAUGACGGCCUUCGGGUUGUAAACCGCUUUCGCCUGUGACGAAGCGUGAGUGACGGUAAUGGGUAAAGAAGCACCGGCUAACUACGUG
RNAcentral lists this ribosomal RNA (468 nucleotides) under uncultured bacterium. RNAcentral's name for it is "partial 16S ribosomal RNA". It matches the Rfam family "Bacterial small subunit ribosomal RNA", at positions 28 to 507 of the family's 1533-position model. The record is from RNAcentral.